Molecule: ribosomal RNA, 833 nt
Filed under: Eulimnadia sp. H MS-2015
Lineage: Eukaryota; Metazoa; Arthropoda; Branchiopoda; Diplostraca; Limnadiidae
Description: partial large subunit ribosomal RNA
Rfam family: Eukaryotic large subunit ribosomal RNA
Source: RNAcentral
CGGGUGUCGCGGAAUGUGGUGUUCAGGAGGACCGUGCGCGUCUGUCCGGUAUCGUCCAAGUCUCCAUGAAUGGGGCCAGCAACCCAGAGAGGGUGUCAGGCCCGUGGUGACGAGCCGCGACCGUGCAUUGGGUCUCUCCUUAGAGUCGGGUUGCUUGAGAGUGCAGCCCUAAGCGGGAGGUAAACUCCUUCUAAGGCUAAAUACGGCCACGAGACCGAUAGCAAACAAGUACCGCGAGGGAAAGUUGAAAAGAACUUUGAAGAGAGAGUUCAAGAGUGCGUGAAACCGUUCAGGGGGUUAAACGGGUGGGCCCUCGAAGGUCGAACGGUCCCCAUCACGGCUCUCGUUGAGUCGGCCCGUGGCGCGCAGUGAUUCCUCUCGGAACACCGCGCCGCGGUUCGCCGGCUUGCGGGGGCUGUUAGCUGGGGGCCCAGUAGGACUCCGCAACCGGCUGGCGGGCCGUCAGAAGGGUUCUGGAGGAAGCCUCCUCGCGGGGUGGAUUCCGGGAUUUCCGGACGGUCCCGUCGGCCGUGAACCGAAAUUUCUUCCCUCACGGGGAGAAUGAGCGGAGAGUAGUGUCGGGUCCCACCCGACCCGUCUUGAAACACGGACCAAGGAGUCUAACAUGUGCGCGAGUCGUCGGGUACUACAAAACCCGAAGGCGCAAUGAAAGUGAAGGCCACCCUCGUUGGCGGCUGAAGGGAGAUCCCGUUCUGCUCCGGUAGCUCGGGCGCAUCCCCGGGGCGUCGAAGCCGCGUUGCCGGCUAGACGCACCAAGAGCGUACACGUUGGGACCCGAAAGAUGGUGACCUAUGCCUGACCAGGACGAACCC